Molecule: ribosomal RNA, 253 nt
Filed under: uncultured bacterium
Lineage: Bacteria
Description: partial 16S ribosomal RNA
Rfam family: Bacterial small subunit ribosomal RNA
Source: RNAcentral
UACGAGUGCCUCAAGCGUUAUCCGGAAUCAUUGGGCGUAAAGGAUGUGUAGGUGGUCGUGUUAGUCUUCUGUUAAAUUCUUCGGCUUAACCGGGGGCAUGCAGCGGAAACGGCACGACUCGAGGAUGCGAGGGGUCUCUGGAACUCAUAGUGUAGCGGUAAAAUGCGCAGAUAUCAGGAGGAACACCGGUGGCGAAGGCGGGUCUCUGGGCCGAUACUGACGCUGAGGAGCGAAAGCGUGGGGAGCGAACAGG